RNAcentral lists this ribosomal RNA (327 nucleotides) under Acinetobacter lwoffii. RNAcentral describes it as "bacterial SSU rRNA". It matches the Rfam family "Bacterial small subunit ribosomal RNA", at positions 484 to 810 of the family's 1533-position model. Lineage: Bacteria; Pseudomonadati; Pseudomonadota; Gammaproteobacteria; Moraxellales; Moraxellaceae. The record is from RNAcentral.
GAAUAAGCUCCGGCUAACUCUGUGCCAGCAGCCGCGGUAAUACAGAGGGUGCAAGCGUUAAUCGGAUUUACUGGGCGUAAAGCGCGCGUAGGUGGCCAAUUAAGUCAAAUGUGAAAUCCCGGAGCUUAACUUGGGAAUUGCAUUCGAUACUGGUUGGCUAGAGUAUGGGAGAGGAUGGUAGAAUUCCAGGUGUAGCGGUGAAAUGCGUAGAGAUCUGGAGGAACACCGAUGGCGAAGGCAGCCAUCUGGCCUAAUACUGACGCUGAGGUGCGAAAGCAUGGGGAGCAAACAGGAUUAGAUACCCUGGUAGUCCAUGCCGUAAACGAU